AUUGAACGCUGGCGGCAUGCUUUACACAUGCAAGUCGAACGGCGGCGCGGGCUUCGGCCUGGCGGCGAGUGGCGAACGGGUGAGUAAUACAUCGGAACGUGCCCAGUAGUGGGGGAUAGCUCGGCGAAAGCCGGAUUAAUACCGCAUACGACCUGAGGGUGAAAGCGGGGGAUCUUCGGACCUCGCGCUAUUGGAGCGGCCGAUGGCAGAUUAGCUAGUUGGUGGGGUAAAGGCCUACCAAGGCGACGAUCUGUAGCUGGUCUGAGAGGACGACCAGCCACACUGGGACUGAGACACGGCCCAGACUCCUACGGGAGGCAGCAGUGGGGAAUUUUGGACAAUGGGCGAAAGCCUGACCCAGCAAUGCCGCGUGUGUGAUGAAGGCCUUCGGGUUGUAAAGCACUUUUGGCGGGAACGAAAAGGACUGUGCCAAUACCACGGUUCGAUGACGGUACCCGCAGAAUAAGCACCGGCUAACUACGUG
RNAcentral lists this ribosomal RNA (484 nucleotides) under uncultured bacterium. RNAcentral's name for it is "partial 16S ribosomal RNA". It matches the Rfam family "Bacterial small subunit ribosomal RNA", at positions 29 to 507 of the family's 1533-position model. The record is from RNAcentral.